RNAcentral lists this ribosomal RNA (261 nucleotides) under uncultured archaeon. Its description in RNAcentral is "partial 16S ribosomal RNA". It matches the Rfam family "Archaeal small subunit ribosomal RNA", at positions 748 to 1008 of the family's 1478-position model. The record is from RNAcentral.
CAGCCGUAAACUAUGCGCGUUAGGUGUAUCGGUGACCACGAGUUACCGAGGUGCCGAAGGGAAACCGUGAAACGUGCCGCCUGGGAAGUACGGUCGCAAGGCUGAAACUUAAAGGAAUUGGCGGGGGAGCACCACAACAGGUGGAGCCUGCGGUUUAAUUGGACUCAACGCCGGGAAGCUCACCAGGGAAGACUGUUACAUGAAGGCCGAGAUGAAGACUCUGCUAGAUUUUCAGAGAGGAGGUGCAUGGCGUCAGUGACU